CAGCAGUGGGGAAUAUUGGACAAUGGGCGCAAGCCUGAUCCAGCCAUGCCGCGUGUGUGAAGAAGACCUUCGGGUUGUAGAGCACUUUCAGUGGGGAGGAAGGGUGUUGUGUUAAUAGCACAGCAUUUUGACGUUACCCACAGAAGAAGCACCGGCUAACUCCGUG
RNAcentral lists this ribosomal RNA (166 nucleotides) under uncultured bacterium. RNAcentral describes it as "partial 16S ribosomal RNA". It matches the Rfam family "Bacterial small subunit ribosomal RNA", at positions 349 to 507 of the family's 1533-position model. The record is from RNAcentral.